GAUGAACGCUAGCGGCAGGCUUAACACAUGCAAGUCGAGGGGUAGAAGGAGCUUGCUCCUUUGAGACCGGCGCACGGGUGCGUAACGCGUAUGCAAUCUACCUUUUGCAGAGGGAUAGCCCAGAGAAAUUUGGAUUAAUACCUCAUAGUAUGUGAGGAUGGCAUCAUUUUCACAUUAAAGUCACAACGGCAAAAGAUGAGCAUGCGUCCCAUUAGCUAGUUGGUAAGGUAACGGCUUACCAAGGCUACGAUGGGUAGGGGUCCUGAGAGGGAGAUCCCCCACACUGGUACUGAGACACGGACCAGACUCCUACGGGAGGCAGCAGUGAGGAAUAUUGGACAAUGGGCGCAAGCCUGAUCCAGCCAUGCCGCGUGCAGGAUGACGGUCCUAUGGAUUGUAAACUGCUUUUUAUACAGGAAGAAACACUAACUUCGUGAAGUAGCUUGACGGUACUGUAAGAAU
RNAcentral lists this ribosomal RNA (462 nucleotides) under uncultured bacterium. RNAcentral describes it as "bacterial SSU rRNA". It matches the Rfam family "Bacterial small subunit ribosomal RNA", at positions 28 to 487 of the family's 1533-position model. The record is from RNAcentral.